GAGAGGGAGAGAGAGAGAGAGAGAGGGAGAGAGAGAGAUGUUCAGGUCUCGACCAUUUUGGAUCAAACUUUUAUCUUCUGGCUCUUUAGUGGCUCUUCUGUCCCUGAUAUGGAAGCAGGAAAGGAGAGAAGACAUGCGGUGAAUGUCGCCGGGUCCGGGAAUCGAACCCACGCCGGCCACGUCGAGGACUGAAGGCCUCCCAGCGUGGGUCACACUGUCCCCUGCACCACCACGACUCGCCCUAUUUUCUUAUCUUUAAAUAAAAUCUCCUGAGUAGG
Molecule: long non-coding RNA, 278 nt
Organism: Gambusia affinis (western mosquitofish)
Lineage: Eukaryota; Metazoa; Chordata; Actinopteri; Cyprinodontiformes; Poeciliidae
Exons: 2
Source: RefSeq, a predicted model, not a curated record